Molecule: ribosomal RNA, 481 nt
Filed under: uncultured bacterium
Lineage: Bacteria
Description: partial 16S ribosomal RNA
Rfam family: Bacterial small subunit ribosomal RNA
Source: RNAcentral
GAUGAACGCUGGCGGCGUGCUUAACACAUGCAAGUCGAACGAAGCACUUCAUUUGAUUUCCUUCGGGACUGAUUAUUUUGUGACUGAGUGGCGGACGGGUGAGUAACGCGUGGGUAACCUGCCUUGUACAGGGGGAUAACAGUUGGAAACGGCUGCUAAUACCGCAUAAGCGCACAGCAUCGCAUGAUGCAGUGUGAAAAACUCCGGUGGUAUAAGAUGGACCCGCGUUGGAUUAGCUAGUUGGUGAGGUAACGGCCCACCAAGGCGACGAUCCAUAGCCGACCUGAGAGGGUGACCGGCCACAUUGGGACUGAGACACGGCCCAAACUCCUACGGGAGGCAGCAGUGGGGAAUAUUGCACAAUGGGCGAAAGCCUGAUGCAGCGACGCCGCGUGAGCGAAGAAGUAUUUCGGUAUGUAAAGCUCUAUCAGCAGGGAAGAUAAUGACGGUACCUGACUAAGAAGCACCGGCUAAAUACGUG